UCUGAGGAGAGGGAAGGAUCUCUGGCUGCUGAAAGAAAAGUAGAGGAUCACAAAGCAACGCCCCCGACUCCAUGUACGCAGACUUUGAUUAACUGGGUCAAUUUUGACAUAUUACAGGAUUAUGAAAACAGGAGAAGCCAAGGUGUAGCACAGUAAAUAUUAACCUUAACAAUGAUACAGUGCAACAAGUGCGUGUCAAGCGUUGGGAAUUGCGCGCUUUCCUCUGUUCAUGCUGUUUGAUGUACCAACAAAGCCCUGGCCAGCGUCUUUUGAUUAUGUGCUAAUGUAGCUCCGAGGCAACAUGUUUUACUGUGCGCAUGAAUGAGUGCUACGUCGAGAAGAUCCGGAAGAUGUUGACUUGUGUUGAUGUGUAACAUUAUACUGCAUUGGAUUAACCUCUUUGAAAUAUAAUUGUUUUUGGUUACCUUUGUAAAAAAAAAGAAAAGAAGAGCAGUGAGAGUGGCAGCCAAAGUAUUCAGCGAGUGCUCGUGCCAGGAUCCAGGGUGCUAUAUUUAGAUUCAAAACACAUCGCUUUUGUGUAAAAGGUCUAUUUCUCACAAACAGCGUUUUGGUGACUGUGAAUGGUGUUAUUUUUCCUCUUUCACUGAUAAUGAAUAGGCUGACACUGAAUCAUUGCUACGCUUGCAAAAAGAUCAGGCUGUUUGUUCUAGUCCUAGCCCCAGCUGCUGCCCUUUCUCCCCUGAACUCAACAACAAAAGCAGAUUACAUAGAUAAGUAAUUUAGCUAAUGAAUAUUUCAUAUGCUAUUAUUCCAAGCAGGUAGUGAAUUAUGCAGUUGUCAAUGUUAUUUCCGCACAUCUGCCCUUAAAACUCUUUUAACACCAAAGUGGAUACUAAUUUUAUGUCCAUGUAUUUGCAUAUUAUCAUCAAAAUAAGUAGUGGCUCUCUAGAUCUGAGUUUUAAACAAAUUAAGUCAGAACAACCAAAUAAGCAUCUGGGGUUAACUCCUUAUUAUUAAAGCUCACUGGCACAGUACCCGCCAAGUUGUGGUAGGUGAUGGUCUGAUUUUGCUUAGGACUUUAAUCUUUAUCUAAAAAUCCUUUUUUGGAAACAUUUCCUACAUUUCAAAAAAUAUACUUCUGUAUUGCAUUCUGCUCACAACAAAAUACUAACAUAUUGUGGAUUACUGCCUUUAUUGCUUAUACAGUAGUCACACUGGGUUAAAACUUUCCAGUUUAUCAGGUAAACCUACCUAAAACUAAUGAAUUGUAACACAAUGGCCCUGCUAUAAAUCCUACAUUUAUGAUAAAUACAAUGUUCAGUUUUAUUGGAAUCUGAUGUAGAGAAGUAUUGAAUGAACUUUAUGGUCAUUUUGAGGCUGUAGUUUGUGGUGCUGCAAAACAAUAUUACAUAUACUGAGAGGUGUGUAAUAUUUUGUCCACCCUCAUUGACAUAAGCCGGGUAAAGACACCACUCAGUAUUAACUAUGUGUAGCUGAGUAAGGUGAGUGUAGAUAAACUUUUUGGGAGUUGGGGUUGUCUAUGUUGAGUUUCUCUUCUUUGAUAACAUAUUCAUUCAAUAUAUUUAGAAACACCAACAGCCUAGACAAUCAUUUCCACAAUAAAGCAAUCCAUUAAAAAGACUAUACCAGUUGACCUUAGGGUUAGACUGACACUUAACACGCCAUCCCCAACAAAUCUGUGCACAGUGACAAGAAAUAAUUAGCUGCCCAGCUACGAUGGCACAGCUGCCAUCGCCGUUUGCACUCAGUUGACUCUCCAAACUGAAACACCUGCUGGUGACACAACAAGGUAACUGCCUCUGAAGGGACACACUGGCUGUGGAAUACUGAGAUAAUCAAGAUGCCAGCAACCACCGUAGUGCCCAUGAGCACCCAAAUACGACAGCAACAGUUAGUUCAAGCAUGUGAAGUGUUUCAGAUGAUUAAAUUCAGGGUUCUUAGUUGAAUUCUGUGUUAAUGGCAUGUCAAUGAUUUGAUCAAUUCUAAAUGUGUGGACCUGCUAGACUUUUGCAAAAGUGAUACUUGAAAUGAGGUCAAUUAAUUCAUGUUCAGGCAUGUUAGAGCAGUUUUUCUUCAGUUACUUUAAAAACUGUUUGUUGGUGUGUUGUCAUUGCAGAGAACAAUAAAUGCUUUUGGCAACAAGCUAAAAGACUAACUUUGAUACCAAUUGUUGUAUUUCCAUUUGUAUGUGGAGAGUGUUCACAAAGACAAUAUCUACUUUUUUUCUGCAAAGACAAAAAAAAAAUUUGAUGUAUUCAGCUUUUACAUUAGUUAAGUAUGAUUUGUGUUCAUGUUGCAUCAGCCUUUCCUGAUGAAUAUAGAGUAUUUAAGCGAAACAACUGCAGUCAUUAAUAAUAAGCAAUAAUAAGCACAUUUACAUAACUGAAAUAAUAAAUGUCCUUCAGGUAAGAAGUCAGUCUCUGACACCACACCAACACAAAACAUUGUAUUAACUGAAAAUGCUAAAAAAAAAUCUUUUUUAAUUUCACCUCAGAGAGCAGUGAAGAAACAGGUGAUGCUAAAAAACAUCAGUAUGUUGUUACUAUCAACAGUACAGGUGUACAAAUGAUGAUGAUGAUGAUUGUUUUCUAGUUUAAGAAUUAUGUUGCUGUUCAUAUCAAAGAUUCCAAGCAAAUUCCAAGAAUUCUAGACUUAAUAUAAAGCUUUUUUUUUUGCUUUUCUGGUGAAGGAGGUAGACACAACACCAGAAGAAAGAUAAGUGUCAGAGGUGACAUGCAGUCCAAAGCAGUCUCUAGGCAACAAGGAUGAACAGGAAACCGAAGCUAAGGAUUUCAAAACCAAAGAAAGAAAGAAAAGAAAUGUGAGAUAAUGUGAAACAUCAGAGAAAUGAGGGACGACAAAACAAAACAAAUGUUUUCCUUGAUGUAUGAAGAUUUUAGCAAGAGCAACGAGCAGCCUGCAGCUGGACUUGAAACAUCAGUUACAUGGCUAUUUUGCUCUGCUAUGUUCAUGUCACUUUUAAACCUGACACCACCACAUAUGUAUGCCAAAAUGCCAUAGUGAAAUAUGUCAACAUGAUGAUAAUUAUAACUUGAAUAAUAACUCAUCUCAUCCCUC
Micropterus dolomieu (smallmouth bass) is the source of this 3060-nucleotide long non-coding RNA. RefSeq lists it as uncharacterized. The transcript has 2 exons. NCBI's taxonomy places the organism in Eukaryota, Metazoa, Chordata, Actinopteri, Centrarchiformes, Centrarchidae. The record is from RefSeq and is a predicted model, not a curated record.